UCACGCAGCAGUGUCGCAAAUCC
RNAcentral lists this unclassified non-coding RNA (23 nucleotides) under Mus musculus (house mouse). RNAcentral's name for it is "oocyte_clustered_small_RNA6701". The record is from RNAcentral. Lineage: Eukaryota; Metazoa; Chordata; Mammalia; Rodentia; Muridae.